CCUACGGGGGGCUGCAGUCGGGAAUUUUCGGCAAUGGGGGGAACCCUGACCGAGCAACGCCGCGUGAGGGAAGAAGGUCUUCGGAUCGUAAACCUUUGUCAUCAGGGACGAUCAUGACGGUACCUGAGGAGGAAGCCACGGCUAACUACGUGCCAGCAGCCGCGGUAAGACGUAGGGGGCAAGCGUUACCCGGAAUUACUGGGCGUAAAGGGGGCGUAGGCGGUAAAAGAAGUCAUCUGUGAAAACCUAUUGCUCAACGAUAGGCUAGCGGAUGAAACUGAAUUACUUGAGGGCACCAGAGGUAGACGGAAUUACCCGAGUAGGGGUGAAAUCCGCAGAUACGGGUAGGAACGCCGGUGGAGAAGUCGGUCUACUGGGGUGCACCAGACGCUGAGGCCCGAAAGCUAGGGGAGCAAACCGGAUUAGAUACCCUUGUAGUC
Molecule: ribosomal RNA, 440 nt
Filed under: uncultured Defluviitoga sp.
Lineage: Bacteria; Thermotogati; Thermotogota; Thermotogae; Petrotogales; Petrotogaceae
Description: bacterial SSU rRNA
Rfam family: Bacterial small subunit ribosomal RNA
Source: RNAcentral